UUGCUGGUCCUCCUCUUGAAGGGAAGGACAUAGAUCAGUAGGGUGGUUGUUGGCACAUAUUCCACAUGGCUUGGGCUGCUGAAUUUGCUGAACUUGUUGGGUUUGACCCACAACAAGGCUACGGACAACAUUGGUGAGAUCAGAAAUUUGGGAUGCCAAAUCAGAUGUACUCACCUCAUUCACUCUUCUUGAUGGCUGCUCUUGAUCUCCAAAUUGCUGAGAAGCUGCAGCCAUGGUGGAAAUUAAGUCUCUCAUCUCUCGAGCUGAUUUUUUCUCAAUUGAUCCUCCACAGGCUGCGUCAAUAAAUUUUCUUUCUGAGGGUAGCAAACCUCCAUAGAAGUAAUGAAUGAGAGAUUUGUCAGAAAUAUCAUGUUG
Molecule: long non-coding RNA, 375 nt
Filed under: Manihot esculenta (cassava)
Lineage: Eukaryota; Viridiplantae; Streptophyta; Magnoliopsida; Malpighiales; Euphorbiaceae
Description: long non-coding RNA (MESC_LNC002023)
Source: RNAcentral